GGGUUGUGAGGUUAAGCGACUAAGCGUACACGGUGGAUGCCCUGGCAGUCAGAGGCGAUGAAGGACGUGCUAAUCUGCGAUAAGCGCCGGUAAGGUGAUAUGAACCGUUAUAACCGGCGAUUUCCGAAUGGGGAAACCCAGUGUGAUUCGUCACACUAUCAUUAACUGAAUCCAUAGGUUAAUGAGGCGAACCGGGGGAACU
RNAcentral lists this ribosomal RNA (202 nucleotides) under Salmonella enterica. RNAcentral describes it as "partial 23S ribosomal RNA". It matches the Rfam family "Bacterial large subunit ribosomal RNA", at positions 1 to 194 of the family's 2925-position model. The record is from RNAcentral. RNAcentral also lists the same sequence under 1 other name. Lineage: Bacteria; Pseudomonadati; Pseudomonadota; Gammaproteobacteria; Enterobacterales; Enterobacteriaceae.